This 755-nucleotide ribosomal RNA is filed under the name uncultured bacterium. RNAcentral's name for it is "bacterial SSU rRNA". It matches the Rfam family "Bacterial small subunit ribosomal RNA", at positions 28 to 776 of the family's 1533-position model. The record is from RNAcentral.
AUUGAACGCUGGCGGCAGGCUUAACACAUGCAAGUCGAGCGGAAACGAUGGUAGCUUGCUACCAGGCGUCGAGCGGCGGACGGGUGAGUAAUACUUAGGAAUCUACCUAGUAGUGGGGGAUAGCUCGGGGAAACUCGAAUUAAUACCGCAUACGACCUACGGGAGAAAGGGGGCAGUUUACUGCUCUCGCUAUUAGAUGAGCCUAAGUCGGAUUAGCUAGAUGGUGGGGUAAAGGCCUACCAUGGCGACGAUCUGUAGCUGGUCUGAGAGGAUGAUCAGCCACACCGGGACUGAGACACGGCCCGGACUCCUACGGGAGGCAGCAGUGGGGAAUAUUGGACAAUGGGGGAAACCCUGAUCCAGCCAUGCCGCGUGUGUGAAGAAGGCCUUUUGGUUGUAAAGCACUUUAAGCAGUGAAGAAGACUCCGUGGUUAAUACCCACGGACGAUGACAUUAGCUGCAGAAUAAGCACCGGCUAACUCUGUGCCAGCAGCCGCGGUAAUACAGAGGGUGCAAGCGUUAAUCGGAAUUACUGGGCGUAAAGGGAGCGUAGGUGGCUCGAUAAGUCAGAUGUGAAAUCCCCGGGCUCAACCUGGGAACUGCAUCUGAUACUGUUGAGCUAGAGUAUGUGAGAGGAAGGUAGAAUUCCAGGUGUAGCGGUGAAAUGCGUAGAGAUCUGGAGGAAUACCGAUGGCGAAGGCAGCCUUCUGGUAUAAUACUGACACUGAGGCUCGAAAGCGUGGGUAGCAAACAGG